AAAGAGCUGUCGGGGAGUCAGGACCAUACUCACUGAUUAAUUGAAAUGGCUUUCGCUAUUCACAUUUUCAGAAUUACAUUGAACAUCUCACCUGAGCUGGGUAUGGAUGUGUGCUGUGCAGGUGAGCUUGGUGUGGCACAAAUAGCUUCUAGCCCAGGCACUGCAUCUGAUGGGUACCGUUGGGGUGUGCGUGCAGUGGGGAGAACAUGCAGCAGCUCCUGCUUCUCCCAAAGUUGCUCCUGGAUGGAGCAAAAUUUGUGUAGAAAAAAAAUAAAAAUCACCUAGCAUUGAAGGUUCCAGUUCCAGCCCUGAACGGAGGAGGAUGCCUUUCAUUUCAUAGAACUGCAGAAUCAUCAGGGUUGGAAAAGCCCUCCAAGACCAUCUGCUCCAACCAUCCCCCUACCACCAAUGUCACCCACUGAACCAGGUCCCCAAGCACCACAUCCAACCUCUCCUUGAACACCCCCAGGGACAGGGACUCCACCACCUCCCUGGGCAACCCGUCCCAGUGCCUGACUGCUCUUUCUGAGCAGAAAUGUCUCCUCAUUUCCAGCCUGAGCCUCCCCUGGUACAACUUGAGGCCAUUCCCUGUAGUCCUAUCACUAGCUACCUGUGAGAAGAGGCCGACCCCCAGCUCCCCACACCUUCCUUUCAGGCAGUUGCAGAGAGCAAUGAGGUCUGCCCUGAGCCCCCUCUUCCCCAGACUAAACACCCCCAGCUCCCUCAGCCGCUCCUCACAGGACAUGUGUUCCAGAUUUUUUUUUUACUUCUUACAUUUUUACUUGCUGAAAGUAAUCAAAUACAUCAAUAAAAGGGAAAAUAGCGCUUGUUUUGCCCGCAUUGUGGAGAUUCGCUCUGCUUUUCCUGCUCCACCAGCAUCCGCAUUUUCGAUUAUUAUCCCCCCCCCCCCCCCAACCCAACACACACUCUGCCAACCACCACCCUUAGCCCGAACGGGGGCUGCCUACCCCCCUCCUUUCAUUCUGGGGAAGGUGUGCGGGACCCUCCGACCCUUCACCCCUCCAUCCAUCCCCGGGCACUUCGCGAACCCAAAAAGAGGGGGGAGUGUGGGGGGGGGCGGUGACGUCACGAGCCUCUCGCCAGCACAACGUUCCAUUGAGGCGAGCGCGUGCUCCGCCGAGCACAUGGGCGCUCCGCGCUGCUUUGCCUUUUUUAUUUUCCUUUGCAGCGCUCUGUGGCUUAUUUUUAUUUCUUUUAUUUAUUUAUUUAUUUAUUUUGCUCCCGGCCCUCCGGACCCCUUUCUCAGAGAGAGAGGUCCCAGCCCCGUGCUUUCCACCAUUCUGGAAUAA
This 1310-nucleotide long non-coding RNA is filed under the name Anas platyrhynchos platyrhynchos (common mallard). RNAcentral's name for it is "lncRNA (ENSAPLG00000030411.1)". The record is from RNAcentral. Lineage: Eukaryota; Metazoa; Chordata; Aves; Anseriformes; Anatidae.